AGAGUUUGAUCCUGGCUCAGGACGAACGCUGGCGGCGUGCCUAAUACAUGCAAGUCGAGCGGACCCUUCGGGGUUAGCGGCGGACGGGUGAGUAACACGUAGGCAACCUGCCUGUAAGACUGGGAUAACUUCGGGAAACCGGAGCUAAUACCGGAUAAUUCUUUUCCUCACAUGAGGAAAAGCUGAAAGACGGCGCAAGC
Molecule: ribosomal RNA, 200 nt
Filed under: uncultured bacterium
Lineage: Bacteria
Description: partial 16S ribosomal RNA
Rfam family: Bacterial small subunit ribosomal RNA
Source: RNAcentral